RNAcentral lists this ribosomal RNA (500 nucleotides) under uncultured bacterium. Its description in RNAcentral is "bacterial SSU rRNA". It matches the Rfam family "Bacterial small subunit ribosomal RNA", at positions 29 to 517 of the family's 1533-position model. The record is from RNAcentral.
AACAAACGCUGGCGGCGUGUCUUAAGCAUGCAAGUUGAGCGGCAAGGAGGAGAGAUCCUCCCUAGAGCAGCGGACUGGUGAGUAACGCGUGGGUAAUCUAUCUUAGGCAUGGGGAUAGUCACUAGAAAUAGUGGGUAAUACCGAAUAAGUUCCAUAAGGGGAGGACUUAUGGAAGAAAGGUGCUACGGCACUGGCCUUAGGUGAGCUCGCGUCCCAUUAGCUAGUUGGUGAGGUAAAGGCCCACCAAGGCGAUGAUGGGUAGCCGGCCUGAGAGGGUGUACGGCCACACUGGGACUGAGAUACGGCCCAGACUCCUACGGGAGGCAGCAGCUAAGAAUAUUCCGCAAUGGACGGAAGUCUGACGGAGCGACGCCGCGUGGAUGAAGAAGGCCGAAAGGUUGUAAAGUUCUUUUGCUAGGGGAGAAUAAGUGUGGGAGGGAAUGCCUGCACGAUGACAAGGACUAGCGAAUAAGUCCCGGCCAACUACGUGCCAGCAGCCG